RNAcentral lists this ribosomal RNA (392 nucleotides) under uncultured bacterium. RNAcentral's name for it is "partial 16S ribosomal RNA". It matches the Rfam family "Bacterial small subunit ribosomal RNA", at positions 523 to 918 of the family's 1533-position model. The record is from RNAcentral.
AUACGGAGGAUGCGAGCGUUAUCCGGAUUUAUUGGGUUUAAAGGGAGCGUAGGCGGGAGCUUAAGUCAGCGGUUAAAUGGUGCGGCUCAACCGUGCCCUGCCGUUGCAACUGGGUUUCUUGAGAGUGCAAGAGGCGGAUGGAAUUCAUGGGGUAGCGGUGGAAUGCUUAGAUAUCAUGAAGAACUCCGAUUGCGAAGGCAGUCCGCUGGGGCACGUCUGACGCUGAUGCUCGAAGGUGCGGGAAUCAAACAGGAUUAGAUACCCUGGUAGUCCGCACGGUAAACGAUGAUUACCCGCUGUCGGCGGCAGACAGUCGGCGGCCAAGCGAAAGCGAUAAGUAAUCCACCUGGGGAGUACGCCGGCAACGGUGAAACUUAAAUGAAUUGACGGGG